UUCAAUAUAGCAAGUAAUGUGCGUUAAAUUUAGAAUUUAAAGAUGAAGAUUUUCUAUUGAUC
RNAcentral lists this transfer RNA (62 nucleotides) under Hormurus waigiensis (Australian rainforest scorpion). RNAcentral describes it as "tRNA-Leu". The record is from RNAcentral. Lineage: Eukaryota; Metazoa; Arthropoda; Arachnida; Scorpiones; Hormuridae.